This 71-nucleotide transfer RNA is filed under the name Mus musculus (house mouse). RNAcentral describes it as "tRNA-Thr". Lineage: Eukaryota; Metazoa; Chordata; Mammalia; Rodentia; Muridae. The record is from RNAcentral.
AGGAGUGUAGCUCAGUGGUAGAGCCCUUGCCUGGUGCACACAGGGCUUGGGUUCUAUUUCCAGUACCACAA